UAUAAACGUUUGAUAAGAGAUUAGUAACAUAUUUAAUUUUUUAAGAGAGUUUACGGGUGGUGUAAGUAAAUAAAAUUUAUAUGUGAAUCUACUCUUAGAUGUUUUUAGUGAAAACUAAACCGUAAGUUAGGCGGUUACCCUACUAAUUGAGUGUAUUAUUUUUAUAAUAACUUAAGGUGGCACCGCGGAUUAUAUUCGUCCUUAUA
RNAcentral lists this non-coding RNA (206 nucleotides) under Clostridium sp. RNAcentral's name for it is "T-box sequence". It matches the Rfam family "T-box leader". From Rfam's summary of the family: Uncharged tRNA acts as the effector for transcription antitermination of genes in the T-box leader family. T-boxes are found upstream of many aminoacyl-tRNA synthetase genes and some amino acid biosynthetic genes usually in Gram-positive bacteria. The anticodon of a specific tRNA base pairs to a specifier sequence within the T-box motif, and the NCCA acceptor tail of the tRNA base pairs to a conserved bulge in the T-box antiterminator hairpin. Lineage: Bacteria; Bacillati; Bacillota; Clostridia; Eubacteriales; Clostridiaceae. The record is from RNAcentral.